GGCUGAUGCUCUCUGGGGAGUGGUCAGAGGAAGGAGGAGGUCGUGCAGUCCUUGGCUGCCCCAGAGCAGCCAGGCUCUGGGGCAGAACUGUGAGGCCUGGUGGAGCCUAGUGCAGGGCUCAGGAGAAAGGCUGAAUCGUCGGCCGACACCAAAGGGAAGACAAGGCACUUAUGACCCAGGUCGGUUGGGCCAGAAAUCCAAGUGGUAUCAGUGAAGAGGGAGACGGAACACUACACAGGAUGUAGGUCACUGCAGCUGCCCCCUCCCCUUCCUACCACAGGGUCCUCUCUUAGCUGGUCUCCAAGUGGGAACCCCAGCCUCAGGGUACGUGGAUUAAGAUGGAGCCGGUGCUGGUGAUAAGGUGGUCUGUCCUGAAUUUUUUAUGUCGUUACAAACAAAAGAAAGCCAUAAACCUAAGCAGCCUUCAAAUACGUUAUGGGAACCGCAGAUGGGCCCAGCGGAGCAGGGACACAGCCAUGAGUCUCAGGUGCUGCCUGAGGAAACUUUUAGCUUUGGGGUUGGUGGGCACUAGUGUUCUACUAAUCCCAAAAGGUUUUACCUGACAGUCAGUCCUGAAGGUGGGCAGUGGGACCAAAGACAGCUCUGGGGAAUUUGGCUUUGGACUGGCAGUAUUCCAACUCACCACAAGUGUGGAAUCGGAACCUCUGAGCUUGCAGAAUGCUCUCAGAUAGAUAAGCCCCCCACCCCUGGAACAUUACUCUACGUGACUGUGUAUAUCUGUACAAACCAGUUGGCACCCUGCAGGGACAACAGAAAAACUUAUCAUUGAGAGGAAGGUGGUAAACUCUCAUUUGGAGGAGACGGCUCCUCCACUGCCCACGGGUUUCUCAAGAAGACAGCGGUAUCCCCAGAGGGCCAGAGAGAAGGCUGUAGUCUCUGUUGAGGGAUUCUAAGCCGUUCGAGCCAGCAAGGCAGCCCAGGAUCCACCAUGGUCAACUUCAGCCUGCUUUCUGGCUCAACUGCCUGAAAGGUGGCUGGGAGCUCAGCAGCCUGGGUCCUGCUCCAUAGCCUUGCUGCACAGCCCUGCUCCACACCUGUGAACCAUCGUCUGCAUUUCAGCAAAUCCCGAGUGGCCAGAUCUGCUGUAGGAAACAAGACAGUCCCAGGAAGGCAUUCUCUUUGUAAAUCCCAGGCACCAAGGAUAAUCAGAUGGCGGCUAAAGUUGGAGAUAAGAUCACAACUGUCAUUUGUCACUCAGGAGGGGGUGGCCUGUGUUCUGUGGGGCUUUCCUCUGUGCUUAGAGAAAGUUAGAAGGUUGUCUUCUUCAACAUCCUCUGUGGGAUGGCAGUGCUAGGCCAGCAGGCCUCUCAGACCUCAGGGAAGGAUCAGGUCUAUGCACAGAUGCUAGGCCUGCCCUAACAGUUUGCCUGGUCUCAGGUCUGUGCACAGAUGCUAGGCCUGCCCUAACAGUUUGCCUGCUCUGUGCCUUCUCGAAGCUGCCCUCUGCUUCCAUAUGCUAACGUUCCAGCCCUGAUCUUUUUGUCCCAGAGUAGAAAGUGGGUAGAGUGUAGGGGGCACAUUUCCCAGAGUCUCUGGGAAGCCUUUGGAAAACCCCCUCUCCCACAGCCUUCUGUAGGCUGUCCCUAGAGGUUUCAUUUGUAAGGUUUAUUUA
Long non-coding RNA from Mus musculus (house mouse), 1633 nucleotides. RefSeq annotates it as predicted gene, 34316. NCBI's taxonomy places the organism in Eukaryota, Metazoa, Chordata, Mammalia, Rodentia, Muridae. The record is from RefSeq and is a predicted model, not a curated record. The transcript is spliced from 3 exons.